RNAcentral lists this non-coding RNA (45 nucleotides) under Schistosoma mansoni. Lineage: Eukaryota; Metazoa; Platyhelminthes; Trematoda; Strigeidida; Schistosomatidae. The record is from RNAcentral.
AUCCAGCUGACGAGUCCCAAAGAGGACGAAGCGCGCGUCCUGGAU